RNAcentral lists this ribosomal RNA (79 nucleotides) under uncultured bacterium. RNAcentral's name for it is "partial 16S ribosomal RNA". It matches the Rfam family "Bacterial small subunit ribosomal RNA", at positions 363 to 439 of the family's 1533-position model. The record is from RNAcentral.
AUUGCUGCAAUAGGGGGAAACCCUGACGCAGCCACGCCGCGUGAAUGAAGAAGGCCUUCGGGUUGUAAAAUUCUUUUUU